This 206-nucleotide long non-coding RNA is filed under the name Homo sapiens (human). RNAcentral describes it as "LHRI_LNC1652.1". Lineage: Eukaryota; Metazoa; Chordata; Mammalia; Primates; Hominidae. The record is from RNAcentral.
CCGGGCUGGUCUCCAGCUCCUAACCGUGAGUGAUCCGCCAGCCUCGGCCUCCCGAGGUGCCGGGAUUGCAGACGGAGUCUCGUUCACUCAGUGCUCAGUGGUGCCCAGGCUGGAGUGCAGUGGCGUGAUCUCGGCUCGCUACAACCUCCACCUCCCAGCCGCCUGCCUUGGCCUCCCAAAGUACCGAGAUUGCAGCCUCUGCCCGG